AGAGUUUGAUCCUGGCUCAGGACGAACGCUGGCGGCACGCUUAACACAUGCAAGUCGAACGAGAGAAGAGGAGCUUGCUUUUCUGAUCUAGUGGCGGACGGGUGAGUAACACGUGAGCAAUCUGCCUUUCAGAGGGGGAUACCGAUUGGAAACGAUCGUUAAUACCGCAUAACAUAAUUGAACCGCAUGAUUUGAUUAUCAAAGAUUUAUCGCUGAAAGAUGAGCUCGCGUCUGAUUAGCUAGUUGGUAAGGUAACGGCUUACCAAGGCGACGAUCAGUAGCCGGACUGAGAGGUUGAUCGGCCACAUUGGGACUGAGACACGGCCCAGACUCCUACGGGAGGCAGCAGUGGGGAAUAUUGCACAAUGGAGGAAACUCUGAUGCAGCGAUGCCGCGUGAGGGAAGAAGGUUUUAGGAUUGUAAACCUCUGUCUUCAGGGACGAAAAAAGACGGUACCUGAGGAGGAAGCUCCGGCUAACUACGUGCCAGCAGCCGCGGUAAUACGUAGGGAGCGAGCGUUGUCCGGAAUUACUGGGUGUAAAGGGAGCGUAGGCGGGAUCGCAAGUCAGAUGUGAAAACUAUGGGCUUAACCCAUAAACUGCAUUUGAAACUGUGGUUCUUGAGUGAAGUAGAGGUAAGCGGAAUUCCUAGUGUAGCGGUGAAAUGCGCAGAUAUUAGGAGGAACAUCAGUGGCGAAGGCGGCUUACUGGGCUUUAACUGACGCUGAGGCUCGAAAGCGUGGGGAGCAAACAGGAUUAGAUACCCUGGUAGUCCACGCCGUAAACGAUGAUUACUAGGUGUGGGGGGACUGACCCCUUCCGUGCCGCAGCAAACGCAAUAAGUAAUCCACCUGGGGAGUACGACCGCAAGGUUGAAACUCAAAGGAAUUGACGGGGGCCCGCACAAGCAGUGGAGUAUGUGGAUUAAUUCGAAGCAACGCGAAGAACCUUACCAGGUCUUGACAUCGUAUGCAUAGCUCAGAGAUGAGUGAAAUCUCUUCGGAGACAUAUAGACAGGUGGUGCAUGGUUGUCGUCAGCUCGUGUCGUGAGAUGUUGGGUUAAGUCCCGCAACGAGCGCAACCCUUACUGUUAGUUGCUACGCAAGAGCACUCUAGCAGGACUGCCGUUGACAAAACGGAGGAAGGUGGGGAUGACGUCAAAUCAUCAUGCCCCUUAUGACCUGGGCCUCACACGUACUACAAUGGCUGUCAACAGAGGGAAGCAAAGCCGCGAGGUGGAGCGAACCCCUAAAAGCAGUCUUAGUUCGGAUUGUAGGCUGCAACCCGCCUACAUGAAGUCGGAAUUGCUAGUAAUCGCAGAUCAGCAUGCUGCGGUGAAUACGUUCCCGGGCCUUGUACACACCGCCCGUCACGCCAUGGGAGUCGGUAACACCCGAAGCCUGUAGUCUAACCGCAAGGAGGACGCAGUCGAAGGUGGGAUUGAUGACUGGGGUGAAGUCGUAACAAGGUA
RNAcentral lists this ribosomal RNA (1470 nucleotides) under metagenome. Its description in RNAcentral is "bacterial SSU rRNA". It matches the Rfam family "Bacterial small subunit ribosomal RNA". The record is from RNAcentral.